GGACUUCAAACAGGACUGCAAGACUUCGCACUGGAAGCGAGGUUCCUUGCAAUGCCACUUGCGGCGAAGGUUUCCGCGUGAAAAGUCGAACAAUUCUGGCUCAUCCAUCGAACGGUGGUCACCGGUGUCCACGGAAACUCCGCAAAGUGGAACGCUGCUUUUGUGCACUGUGACUCCUCUCGGCACGAUACCAAUCCUUCGUGGGGACCCAGCACCCGGUACACGCCGGAACCGAUCGAGUGCGACUAUUCGGCCUGGUCCGCGUGGGUCUCCGUGUAGCAAGACGUGCGGCGAUUACGCCGUUCCAGCAGCGGACACGCUACGUGCUGAACUCGGAACACGCUCGGCACUGUCCGCAUCGGCUCGAGGAGCGAAAAUGUGAUAUAAUGCCCUGUUUGCUGGGUAACUGAGAAGGAGUGACAGGGGAGGCGAGAUUUGUUUAUUGUUUUACUGAAAUACUCGUUUAAACAGAUCGUAGUUGAAGCACUUUUUAGACUGUUUGUUUAACUGAAUACUCACUACACAAUCUCUAAGGUACGUUUACUAAUCAAGUUGAAACAGAUUAAUUUAACCAGAUAAUUAUUUCAAACAUUGUAAUCAAAUUGAUUGGCAUAUAAUGAUGUAAUCACAAUAUCAACAAAUAUGUAUAAGUAAAAUAGGGAAACAACGUUUUUUGUACAAGACACAUACACAAACACAGACAUUCAUUGGUAUAAACGAUGAACACAUAACCACUGAAUAAUUGAUCAAAAGCAAUGAUUUGAAUGUGUAAAAAAGGCUAAUCCAUAUAUUAGUAGUAAUGCAUGUGGCGACGGUGUAACAACAAAACCAACCAAAUCCAAU
Molecule: long non-coding RNA, 843 nt
Organism: Aedes aegypti (yellow fever mosquito)
Lineage: Eukaryota; Metazoa; Arthropoda; Insecta; Diptera; Culicidae
Exons: 2
Source: RefSeq, a predicted model, not a curated record